UCGGGUAUGGUGUAGCGGUAACAUCGGUGACUCUCAUAUUCUGAUCACUCACCAGCCCGGGGUUCGACUCCCCGUAUCCGAG
RNAcentral lists this transfer RNA (82 nucleotides) under Gnomoniopsis smithogilvyi. Its description in RNAcentral is "tRNA-Glu". It matches the Rfam family "tRNA". Rfam says of the family: Transfer RNA (tRNA) molecules are approximately 80 nucleotides in length. Their secondary structure includes four short double-helical elements and three loops (D, anti-codon, and T loops). The record is from RNAcentral. Lineage: Eukaryota; Fungi; Ascomycota; Sordariomycetes; Diaporthales; Gnomoniaceae.